Pan troglodytes (chimpanzee) is the source of this 1627-nucleotide long non-coding RNA. Lineage: Eukaryota; Metazoa; Chordata; Mammalia; Primates; Hominidae. The record is from Ensembl.
GUGGGGUUUUUGUUUGUUUAUUUGUUUGUUUGUUGUUGUUGUUUUGCUUUUGUUGAUUCUAGAUCCUUUCUGUCAAAGCGAAGAAUGGACCAAAAGGGAAAAUACAGCAAGUAUUUCCAUGGAACAACCUCAGGGCUGUGUUGGAAACGGGAGAAGUCUGCCAUUAUGGUGAUAUAGUUCUACAUUCCUCACGGAACAACACGGGCAAAAGUAAUUUGUGUUUAUUUAUCCUGCCGUUAUUCACAAAAUUUGAAACACUUGUAACAUGUAAAACUUAAGCUACACCAAUUGCCGAGAGAUGUAUACAUCCAGACUUCUAAUAUGCUUGAAGGGAACCACUGGCCUGUCCACUCCAUCCUGUCACCUCUGAUGAUCUGCAAACUUCAGACCUCCAGGGACUUUGGAGCCAGUCACAGGUGCCCCAGGGGAUGCAGAACAUGGUUACAAGGGAAAAGGAGUUGGAGACUGUCAAUUGCCUUCAGAGUAAGAGGAAAGGGAAGAAGAAAGCGCAGAGCAGGAGGAGGAAGGAUGGGGCAGGGCUCUCAUCUGGCUGAGUGACAUGAAUUCUCAGAAUGUAAACGAAGAUAACAGCAUAUCCUUAAAGCUGCGUUCAUAACCCUGGCUAAGAUUCUGGACAGAUAAAAUGCAUGCCUGUUAGCCAUGCAUGAUGGCAUCUGCAUGUAGUCUCAGCUGCUAGAGAGGCUGAGGCAGGAGAAUUGUUUAAGCCCAGGAGUUCCAGGCUGCAGUGAGCUGUGAUUGCACCACUGCUCUCCAACCUGGGUGACAGAUCAAGACCAUGUCUUAAAAAAAAAAAAAAAAAAAAAAGAAAGAAAGAAAGAGAAAGAAAGAAAGAGAAAAGAAAAGAAAGAAAGAAAGAAAAAGAAAAGGAAAAUGGUCUGGCAAUAGAGUGAAAUUUUGUCUCUUAAAAAAAAAAGAAAAGAAAAAUAGAAAAACAAAAACAAAAGCACUGGGGACUCGAAAAGAGGGAGAGGGUGGGAGAAAGUUAAGCAUUGAAAAAUUAUCUAUUGGGUACAAUGUUCAUUAUUUGGGUGAUGGGUUCACUAGAAGUCCAAACCCCAACAUUAUGCCAUAUACCCAUGUAACAAACCUGCACAUGUAUCCCCGAAUUUAAAGUAAAAAUAAUUUUGUUUUAAAAGCAUGCCUACAUCUAUAUCCUGGGAUCUCAGGAAUGCUCCUUUAAUGACGCAUUUUAGCUGUCACUUUGACUGGGUCAUGGAAUGCCAAGAUCCCUGAUUAGACAUUAUUUUUUAGUGUGUCUGUAAGGGUGUUUCCAGAAGAGAUUAGUAUUUGAAUCCAUAGAUUAAAGCAGAUGAAACCUCCACAAUGUGGGCAGACAUCAUUCAAUCCCCUGAAAGCCAGAAGAGAUAAAAAAGGUGGAGGAAGGCUGACUCUCCCUCUUUCUUCCUCACUGCUGAGCUGGGACAUUUAUCUUCUGCCCUAAGUGCUCCCAGCUCUCAGGUCUUCAGACUUGGACUGGAAUCUACACCAUUGUCUCUCCAGCUCUCAGACCUUCUUCAAUGACACCACUAGCUUUUCUGGGUCUCCAGCUUGCAGACAGCACAUUGUGGGACUUCUCAGCUUCCAUAAUUGCAUGAGCCAAUACUUA